UACGAAGGGGGCUAGCGUUGCUCGGAAUCACUGGGCGUAAAGCGCACGUAGGCGGCUUUCUAAGUCAGGGGUGAAAGCCCGAGGCUCAACCUCGGAACUGCCUUUGAUACUGGCGAUCUUGAGUCCGGGAGAGGUGAGUGGAACUCCGAGUGUAGAGGUGAAAUUCGUAGAUAUUCGGAAGAACACCAGUGGCGAAGGCGGCUCACUGGCCCGGUACUGACGCUGAGAUGCGAAAGCGUGGGGAGCAAACAGG
This 253-nucleotide ribosomal RNA is filed under the name uncultured bacterium. RNAcentral's name for it is "partial 16S ribosomal RNA". It matches the Rfam family "Bacterial small subunit ribosomal RNA", at positions 524 to 776 of the family's 1533-position model. The record is from RNAcentral.